AAAAGCGAGGCGUCGGAGGGUACCGAAGAGGUUCAAAAGGGAAGCCGGUGAAAGUCCGGCGCGGGGACGCCACCGUAACCGGGGACGAAACCCACAAGAGCCACUGGUGUAAGCCGGGAAGGCGUGGGGAGUAGGAUGAUCCGGAAGCCGGGAGACCUGCCCUUCGACGAAAUCACCA
Molecule: non-coding RNA, 178 nt
Filed under: Thermotoga sp.
Lineage: Bacteria; Thermotogati; Thermotogota; Thermotogae; Thermotogales; Thermotogaceae
Source: RNAcentral